UUAAUCUACGAUAACUGAGUAUUGGUAGUCAUAUUAAUGAUUCUGGAAUGUGAUAUAAUUUGGUGGCGUGCAUCUGACUGGUUAUUUUAAAUAGCUGUUAUUUUCAUCGAGGGACUCGAACAUACCCGUUGAUUAAAGAUUUUUUGAAGUGUAAAGAAGUUGUAAAAUAAAGAUUUCAAGCAAUUUUAUUGCAGGUACCAGAGUCUGAGGAAACCGCAUUUAAUGCCCCCAAUAAGCAAGAACACAUGGACUAGAAUGUUUGGAUUUCGUUUGACUUGAGCAGAGUUGGCUACAGUCCAUCACAAGGCACAAAGGAAGAGGGGGAUGGUGGUUUUGAAAGUUGAUGGUAUCAGCAUAGAGAUGGUAGAUAUAUUGUUGCCAUGGAGGCCAUGAAAGAGGUUUCAGUUGCUCUGAAAGCAUGCUUCAAUGUAUAAGAACUCAGCUAUCUUCCAGGAAGCAUGGCAUUGUGAACUUGAGGAAGUUGAACCCGUUGAGUCGUUUAGGCCACCACUCACACAUUCUAACACAAAGAAACUUCAGAAGAAGAUUGUCAACUUAAAAGUGAAGUUGCUACCGUGGUUAAGUGGUGAAGCUCACU
This 598-nucleotide long non-coding RNA is filed under the name Helianthus annuus (common sunflower). The record is from RNAcentral. Lineage: Eukaryota; Viridiplantae; Streptophyta; Magnoliopsida; Asterales; Asteraceae.